RNAcentral lists this ribosomal RNA (463 nucleotides) under uncultured bacterium. RNAcentral describes it as "partial 16S ribosomal RNA". It matches the Rfam family "Bacterial small subunit ribosomal RNA", at positions 28 to 507 of the family's 1533-position model. The record is from RNAcentral.
GACGAACGCUGGCGGCGUGCUUAACACAUGCAAGUCGAACGGAAAGGCCUUUUCGGAGGUACUCGAGUGGCGAACGGGUGCGUAACACGUGGGUGAUCUGCCCUUCACUCUGGGAUAAGCCUGGGAAACUGGGUCUAAUACCGGAUAGGACCGCACUUUAGUGUGUGUGGUGGAAAGUUUUUUCGGUGUAGGAUGAGCCCGCGGCCUAUCAGCUUGUUGGUGGGGUAAUGGCCUACCAAGGCGGCGACGGGUAGCCGGACUGAGAGGUUGGUCGGCCACAUUGGGACUGAGAGACGGCCCAGACUCCUACGGGAGGCAGCAGGGGGGAAGAUUGCACAAGGGGCGCAAGCCUGAUGCAGCGACGCCGCGUGGGGGAUGACGGCCUUCGGGUUGUAAACUCCUUUCGCCAGGGACGAAGCGUUUUGUGACGGUACCUGGAGAAGAAGCACCGGCUAACUACGUG